UACGUAGGAUGCGAGCGUUGUCCGGAGUUACUGGGCGUAAAGGGUGGGCAGGCGGUCGACAGCGUCUUUGGUGAAAGCCCCCAGCUUAACUGGGGAGGGUCUAGAGAUACGAGUCGACUUGAGGACAAGAGAGGGAAGUGGAACUCCCGGUGGACCAGUGAAAUGGGUAGAGAUCGGGAAGAACACCAGAGGGGAAGCCGACUUCCUGGCUUGGGCCUGACGCUGAGCCACGACAGCUUGGGGAG
This 245-nucleotide ribosomal RNA is filed under the name uncultured bacterium. Its description in RNAcentral is "partial 16S ribosomal RNA". It matches the Rfam family "Bacterial small subunit ribosomal RNA", at positions 524 to 768 of the family's 1533-position model. The record is from RNAcentral.